Molecule: ribosomal RNA, 775 nt
Filed under: uncultured Neocallimastigales
Lineage: Eukaryota; Fungi; Neocallimastigomycota; Neocallimastigomycetes; Neocallimastigales
Description: partial large subunit ribosomal RNA
Rfam family: Eukaryotic large subunit ribosomal RNA
Source: RNAcentral
CGUCUAUAUACGUAUAGCAUAUCAAUAAGCGGAGGAAAAGAAACUAACAAGGAUUCCCUUAGUAACGGCGAGUGAAGCGGGAAGAGCUCAAAUUUGAAAUCUUCAAGGUUCUACCUUGACGAAUUGUAGUUUAAAGAAGUGUUUUCUGUUAGAGGAGUGGCAAAAGUUCUUUGGAAUAGGACAUCAUAGAGGGUGAGAAUCCCGUAUUUGGUCAUUCUUUCUAGCUGUGUGAUACACUUUCAAAGAGUCGGAUUGUUUGGGAAUGCAGUCCAAAAUGGGUGGUAAAUUUCAUCUAAAGCUAAAUAUUGGCGAGAGACCGAUAGCGAACAAGUACCGUGAGGGAAAGAUGAAAAGAACUUUGAAAAGAGAGUUAAACAGUACGUGAAAUUGUCAAAAGGGAAGCGUUUGACACCAGUGUUGUUUUUCCGAAAAUCAAUUAAGAGUGGCUUGAUUUUGUGUUGUAUUGACCUUAUCAGCUUUCUUCACUCUUUUUCGAGUCUUUCUUAAUGCACUUUUCGGUUAACAAGUCAACAUCAAUUUCUUUUGUUGUAAAAGGGUAUUUGGAAGGUGGCUUUCUUUUCGGAGAAAGUGUUUAUAGCCUUAUACCUCUACAAUCGGAGAGAUUGAGGUCUGCAGCGUAGAUCCUUCGGGGCUAGAUACACUUGUGCUAAGUUAUAGCUUUUCAUAGACAACUUGUUGACUAUGUUUAGUCAUGUAGCUUACCCGCCUGUGCUAUUUUACCUACGCUUAGGAUGUUGAGUCAUCACACAUCUCU